This 22-nucleotide microRNA is filed under the name Heligmosomoides polygyrus. RNAcentral describes it as "hpo-miR-10023-3p". Lineage: Eukaryota; Metazoa; Nematoda; Chromadorea; Rhabditida; Heligmosomidae. The record is from miRBase by way of RNAcentral.
AGAAUCUUUGCUGGUGCAAGCU